RNAcentral lists this ribosomal RNA (489 nucleotides) under uncultured bacterium. Its description in RNAcentral is "bacterial SSU rRNA". It matches the Rfam family "Bacterial small subunit ribosomal RNA", at positions 29 to 497 of the family's 1533-position model. The record is from RNAcentral.
AGUGAACGCUGGCGGCAGGCCUAAUACAUGCAAGUCGAACGGCAGCACAGCAGAGCUUGCUCUGUGGGUGGCGAGUGGCGGACGGGUGAGGAAUACGUGGGAAUCUGCCCAGUCGUGGGGAUAACGUAGGGAAACUUACGCUAAUACCGCAUGCGCCCUUCGGGGAAAGCCGGGGACCUUCGGGCCUGGCGCGAUUGGAUGAGCCCACGUCGGAUUAGCUAGUUGGCGGGGUAAAGGCCCACCAAGGCGACGAUCCGUAGCUGGUCUGAGAGGAUGAUCAGCCACACUGGAACUGAGACACGGUCCAGACUCCUACGGGAGGCAGCAGUAGGGAAUAUUGGACAAUGGGCGCAAGCCUGAUCCAGCCAUGCCGCGUGAGUGAAGAAGGCCCUCGGGUUGUAAAGCUCUUUUUGUCCCGGGAAAGAAAAGGCGCCCGGGGUUUAAAUACCCCUAGGGUGUCCUGACGGUACAGGAAGAAUAAGCACCGGC